GUGGGGAAUAUUGGGCAAUGGGGGCAACCCUGACCCAGCAACGCCGCGUGAGGGAAGAAGGUUUUCGGAUUGUAAACCUCUGUCCUAUGGGAAGAAGGAAGUGACGGUACCAUAGGAGGAAGCCCCGGCUAACUACGUGCCAGCAGCCGCGGUAAUACGUAGGGGGCGAGCGUUGUCCGGAAUUACUGGGCGUAAAGGGUGCGCAGGUGGCCUGACAAGUCAGAUGUGAAAUACCGAUGCUUAACGUCGGGGCUGCAUUUGAAACUAUGAGGCUGGAGUGCAGUAGAGGGAAGCGGAAUUCCUAGUGUAGCAGUGAAAUGCAUAGAUAUUAGGAGGAACACCAGUGGCGAAGGCGGCUUUCUGGACUGUAACUGACACUGAGGCACGAAAGCGUGGGGAGCAAACAGGAUUAGAUACCCUAGUAGUCC
RNAcentral lists this ribosomal RNA (428 nucleotides) under uncultured bacterium. Its description in RNAcentral is "partial 16S ribosomal RNA". It matches the Rfam family "Bacterial small subunit ribosomal RNA", at positions 354 to 796 of the family's 1533-position model. The record is from RNAcentral.